AUGCCGAUAGGAUUCUGUGAGAAAUAUGAAAAACUUAUCCGUGACUUCUGGUGGGGGGACACUGCCGAGCACAGGAAAGUACAUUGGAUGGCUUGGUACCAAAUGACCAAGCCAAAGAGAGGAGGGGGCCUGGGGGUUCAGAGACAUGCACCUUUUAAUCAAGCCCUACUUGCAAGACAAGAUUGGAGGCUGAUCCAGAACCCCGAGAGCCUUUAUGCUAGAGUCUUGAAAUAAAAAUACUAUCCUAAUGGCGAUAUAUUGGAUACGGUCUUCUCCUCGGAUACAUCCCCAGCAUGGCGUGGAAUAGAGUUUGGUUUGGAACUCUUGAAAGAAGGAAUCGUGUGGAGAAUUGGGGAUGGAAGGAGUGUGCGUAUUCAAAGAGACAACUGGAUACCAAGGAGAAGUGGUCUAAAAGCCGCUACCUUUCUAUGCAAUUGCAGACUUAGAUGGGUCAACCAGCUAAUCAAGGCGGACUUUAAUGAGUGGGAUGUGGAUUUGAUAAAGCAGAUCUGCCCAACUUAUGUUGCCGAAGAAAUCUAA
Molecule: ribosomal RNA, 540 nt
Filed under: Triticum aestivum (bread wheat)
Lineage: Eukaryota; Viridiplantae; Streptophyta; Magnoliopsida; Poales; Poaceae
Description: partial small subunit ribosomal RNA
Source: RNAcentral